Non-coding RNA from Coturnix japonica (Japanese quail), 6007 nucleotides. The record is from RefSeq and is a predicted model, not a curated record. NCBI's taxonomy places the organism in Eukaryota, Metazoa, Chordata, Aves, Galliformes, Phasianidae.
ACUAUGAGUUUUUAAAAAUAGAAAAAUUACAUUUUGUAAAACUUAAUUUGUUUUUUACCCUUGUGGUUCCCUUCUAACUCAAGAUGUUCUGAUUCUGUGAUUCUGUGAGGAGGAGGAGAGCAGGACUAGCAUUUUUAACCCAGAAUUGCCAUGCAAGUGCUGACUUUGGCAGUUCCUCGGAGCGUGACUCGGGAUGAAUCACCUCGUACUGUGUGCCACUUACCCCCAUGCGAAGGGCAGCAGGAGAUCUCUGUUCUCAAAAUAGGAUGAAGCUGCUCUGCCCUCGUGAUUCUCUGCAGGCAAUCUGUGUCAUCCUAUGCUCAAUGACAGCAGCUCUGGUGUCAAGGAAGCUGAUGCCUAUAAACAGGAAGGGACACAUUAUUAACUAAACAACACAACUGUAGGGAAACAUUCUCUGACACUAAACAUUUGAAGAGGAAAAAACCCUAAAGGUGACAAUUUAGAUCAAGAGAGCAGAGGGACAUUCUUCAGAUCGGAACAGACCUGGUGCUUGCUACAAGGUAGAGCAAUAAGGGUGCCAGAUAGGAGGAACUGGAUGCGAAGGAUUGUGAACAUAUUUGCAGCCAUCUGGCAGCUUCUAAUUAUCCAAAUGAUGAGGCUGCCUGAGCUCUCACCAAAAUGUGGAGAGGGAGGGAAGGCAGGAGUCUGUUUGGGCAGAGGAUCUCGAAUGCUUCAUGCUUUCAACGUAUGUUUUUUGGAAAUGUUUUAUAUCACUUACAAGAUUAUUUAUAUUAUUGGAGAUAUACAAAAAUGGUUCCAGAAGAACAUGGGAAGGUUACUCCUGUAUUUUUCCUUCCGGGUUUCUGGAAAUCAAGUCAAAGAACAGAAUAGGUGCUGUUCCCUGGGCACCAGCAUCAAGAAUGAACUGGGGAAGAAUCAAGAUGUCGUGCCUUGGGGUAUGAUUGAUCACAGCAAGUAUCAAACUAUCUCCUUAUUUCAUUCUUCUAUCAGGAGCUAAACAGCACCGUGCUGACCUGUGCCACUCUCAUUCAGCCAGGAACUGGACUCUAAUGACAAACCAGUUGUUCUAUCAUGGUAAAAAGUAAGAUACUGGGUUUAAUAUGUGAUAUUUGCAGUUGCUUGCAUGCCACAAGCAAUCAGAUAUCAAAGUCCCCUAAGCAAUCUGGAUUUUUCUUUCUCAAUAGCAGGACAAGCAUGCCUUAGCUAUAGCAGUGUUAAUUACAUUAAGCCGGGACAGCCGUUGCCAUGGGCUCUAACCUCAGGCAGCUUCUGCUUCUGCUCCCUGAAACACAAUUGCUGAGAUGAACAAGCGAUUUUAGCCACUUGUAAACGCACACUGCAGAAACAAGAAUUAAAUUGCUUUCCAGGGCACAUAGAUGAGAUACGAGCACUAAUUUGACUUGACUCGUUGUCUUGCAUGCAGUUUAUGGGAAGGUGAAUGAAAAGUUGUGUUGCUCUGCCCUCUUAUGAUGGUACCAUAUUUCCAGCUGUUUGUGGUUAGGCGUGUCCUGGCUGCAGCUCAGAGGCAGGCUUUUAUGUUAAGAUACAUGACAGGCAUAUGGAUUCUAAGUGACUACAUUUAACAGUAUUGAUUUUAGGUAUCGAGAUACACAGUUUUUAUCACCCACUUGUUUCCUGGUUGGAAGGAGAAAAAGAAGGUGCCAAGAACCUCCCAGGUACGAUAGGAAAUGAUGCUGAUGCUCAGACCACCUGCUACCUAGAAAGACAGAUUGAUAGCUCAGCGUGUGGCACUUUCUGACACAGGCCAAUAAUUAACCUGAUUGCUUCUGUUGUAUUAGAGGUAUGUGCUGCCCCUUUUGAUAAAGAGAAAAAUGUUCUUUAUUGCAUUCAGUUAUCAUUCGUCUUUGAGCUUGGCAUCCUCCUUCAGGCAUCUGCUGCUGCUUCAUGAUACAAAGUAACACACAGCUCAGUUACUAAGCAUUAUUUUUCUAAUUCUGCUCACAGACCCUGGAGAGGAGAAGUGCCUCCUAGAAACCAUCAAUUCCUAAGCAUAAGAUUUGGUUACGUUACUUCAGCAUGCGCAUUCUGGCCCAGAUUUUGAGCUGCGUAAAAGAAAACUUUAUCUGCAGAAAUCUUCCUAGGAAUCUGAAUGAUACCUGCUUUGCAGUCUUUCUACUUAGGCUACACGAAGUGAUACCAAAUACAAUCACCUUAAAAUUCAAAACCAUAGAAAGAAUGCUACUUGUUACUUUUUACAGAGCACGUUGGCCAAAAUAUUGUGCCAGUGGCCUCCCAGUGUGUGAGCCCCAAGCAUGAGACCGACAACUAAAUCUUUUGGACAGACUAUUUGGAAGUGUAAACGAAGAAGGCCAACGUUCCUUCUUUUUCUUCUUCUUCUUCUUUUUUCUUAAAGAUGUGGAGUACGAAUUUCACAAAGCUGACGCACACCAGACAAUGUCGCACAAGAUCCUGCGGGCUGCUGCAUGAAUGAGGCCUUUCAGGCCCCGCACACUGCCCUGCUUGUUCCCCAGGCCGCACUUUCUGGUCACUAACACUCAGCUGGCAAGAGCAGAGGAUGCUGCACCAAGUGCCAUUUGUCUGUCAGCUCAAAGGAAGUGGAACUCCCCUUACAGCUGUUCUUCUCAGCACUUCCUACUACACGCUGUAGAUGAAGACGCACAAUAUUCUGCAGAAUUAACCCCCCCAGAGGUCGAUGAGCUCAGUCGUCAGGGUCAGCUCCAACCAGUUCCGACUUCCAGCAUUCAUCCCUCCUAGUCUGUGCAUUCCGAGGACUUCUCGCACCAAAAUGUGUCAUUUUAAGACGUUAUCUCGUCUCCUUCCCAUCCUGCUCCACCUGCGAUCCCCCGGCAGCACGGAGCUCUGCCGCCCGUUGCAUCGUGGAUGCUGCCCUCUAGCGCUCACUGCUCCAAGGGCCUGCAGACCUUCCGUGUUCCGUGGAGGGUCGCUAAUAAAUACUGAAAGAAGUCUUUAAAUACAUCGGGGGAUUUGCCAUCAUGGACCUGCUGUAUUUAUUUAUUUAUUUAUGAUUCCUGCUUCCUCUUCCUUCACCACCGUUCCUAUUAACUAAGUGUUAAGUGAGAAAAUAAACCGCCGCAGCCACCAGCGCCAUUCCCGGCUCCUGCCACACGAGGUCGCUCCGGAGCCAGAUACAGGAGCUGGUCCCGUUCCACCGCCCCACGUGCUUCCACGGGAGACACGUUGCGAUCCUUAUUGCGGGGGUCUCAGCGUGAAGUUUGUUUCUGUCCUUCCAUAGCACACAAGGAGGUAUUUUCUGAUGGCCAUAAUCUCCCCCAGGAGCAUGAUGGAAUGUAUUCGUGACACCGGCUUCUGAUAGUGUGACAAGUAGAAGACAGGACAGUAUCUAUUUAGGAAUUCCUAAUAUACAGCUCUUAAGUGGAGUUUUGAAGGCUUCUGACUUAGCUGCACUGCUGCUUUCCACCACUGCAAUGAUACAAGACAGCUGGAUGUCGUCUGUGUAUGUGUGAGCUUUCAUGUGGUGCUCUGGUCCAUCAAGAGUGUGGGCAACUCAUACUGAGAUUAAAGGUAGAUAUCUAAGAGCACUACUCCUCUAAAUACUACUCACUGUUAAGAAAUUUCCAGCAUUCAGAGGCAGAUUCAGCACAACUUAAGGAGGCUCUUGGAAUUUCAGAACAUUUUUAUACCAUUAGAAAUUCAGAUAUACUAGAGAGAGGAGCAAGCAAUACACUGGGGAAUUCUCAAAGUUGCAAAUAAAGCUUUUAAAAGACCUGCAGUAAAAGACACGCAGCAAGAAUUUCCAAAGGUAACGGCUGUCUCGGUGGGUGGUUCAUAUUACUGUCUUCAUGGUUCCUCGCUUUGUUCUAGGAAAUAUUUUUGCUUUGCAAUAUUAUGAUGUUCCUGGAAUUUCCUUUGUAGUGAAAAUGUUUAACCUUAAUGCAGAAAUUAUGCAGAAGUUUAAGCCUACAGCUAUUCAGAAAUCCAGAGCAGAGAUGCAUUAAUAUUCCUUCCCCCUCGAUUCCUUCUCAUUCUUACAAAGGCACAACUAGUCUGCUCAGAUCUGUGCUUUGAAUAAGGAGUAACUCGAUGUCUGCAAAAAAAGAGCGGCUCUCUCAGGGAAAGCCUCUUAUUAAUCGUAUUAAACAUGUUGAUGGCGGAGAUUUCAGUAACAGCAGCCCUGCCAGCCCUGGCAACGUGCAGCAGUUGAGAUGGAGACACCCCUCAUUGCAGCAUAAAAUACUUUAAUCUCACAGAGUCUGCGCUUCAAAUAAAGCGACACGAGCGUUUGUCUUUAAGAGCUGGAGGCGUUUCCAGCAGUCGGGUCGGGCUGCAGAGCUGCAUUAACCUCAAUGUUUUACUUCUCUCAUCACUUCGGCUCCUUCACAAGUUUCUUUUGCUCCCUCAGCCCCGGGCCCCGUUUAUGGGGAGGGUCCUUCGAGGGGGGCGAUGUCAGAAGAAACGGGUUUGUGUUCAGCGAGUGCGUGUGAACUGCGUUACAUGCGAGGAACUGGAAGACAGUAAACAAAGGUCACAUAAGAAGCCUGCUUUGCUCCUCCUCACGUGCAAACAGUACUGGAAGGCUGCAGUCAGGACUAUGGAGUCUUGUCCAAGCUGAACAAACCCAACACCCUCAACCUGCCCUCGCAGGAGUGGUGCUCCAGGCCUCUAUAGAAAACACAAAGGCCUUGUCAGCUCCAGCACUGGUAUCUAUAUUAAACUCAUCUGAACUACCGAAACACCAGUUUGGGUUGUACAUUGUGUCCUUCAUCAACUACAUUACCAAGAACUACGGUACCACUGGAUACAAAGUCUAACCCCAGAAGAUACAGUUCUCCAGGUUCUUAGGUAGCAAAAAGACACCCGAAAGAUUUACCUCUUAACUCCGUUCCUGAAGGAACAGCCUCCUCUUUGCAGACGUACAUUCUAGAAGAAGUAAUCCAAUACAACAGUCUCAAUUUAUUUGAAAUAAUUCAGUUUCAAAACUUUUUAAUUUAAAAUUUACAGCACACGUGGGGAGUAAACAUGUUUUAUUACAACUAAAAAUUAUCAGAAGAGUGCUGCAGGGUUGAUUAAUUUAACACUGUCAUGGCUUUAUUCAAAACACAGUUGCACAAAAUCAGUUACUCCAAAGUUUAAGGAAAGAGUCUGAUAAGGAACCAAAACGCACUAUAUACAUACUGCCAUACAAAGAGCAUUGAAAUAGGACAAAACCUCUACAAAAUAUAAAACCCACCCUUACAUAUUCGCAUGAAAAGACCACCCACCAAGCAAAAAAGUUUCAAAAGGUAUCUGGAGGCUCUGUAUUAUUUUUUAAAAAACGCUAUGCUGUUUAAUUGCAUGCCAAGCUGACAAAUAUGAAAUGAUAUUUAGAUGGUAACGCUGAGGAAAAGACAAAAUUACUUAAUAAGUUUUGUGUGAGGCUCAGAUUUUCUAGACAUAGCAGCUGAUGCACUAUACUGCAAGUUGAUUUAGGAAGUGUUAAGUCUGCAUAUCUUAGGGAAAGUCUGCUUACCCCUUCUAAGCUCAUUUUGCUUUGUCGCAUUAGCUCAUUCAAUGUUAAAAUUGGACUUGUUUAUUGAAACAUGACUGGUACCAAAAUAACUUUAAUUCAAAAUAGUAAAUGUCCCCAUUUAAAACUAACUUUAUAUGCAUCAGGAAGAGAUAGAUAAGGAAAACCCUGAAAAUGAAGUACUUUAAAAGUGCACACUUAUAAUUUUCAGUCAUUCACUGAGAUUUAAAAAAAGCAAAAAGGUGGAAAAACACUUUUCUAUCUCAAAGCUGAUCACAAAGCAACUGACUCAAACACAGAGCCUCCAUGAUAAGAUAGGAUGUGCACUUACCUAAGAUUUCUAUUCAUUCAGUAUUCAUACACAAACACAGGAACUCAGAUUGUGGUUGCAAAUGUAGUUUUACCACUACUUUUCUAGUGUCUUUACAGAUAUUCAUUAAAAAUUGCAGAACUUUUAGUCAGUUUAUUUCCAAGUAUGUUGCCUGACCGAUUUCAUUCAGACACCUUUGAUGCUUCACAGCUACAUGAGAAACAGUAAUUUAAGGCUCUAUUUGAGGG